CACAAAAUGUGCAUAGUCAAUCGGACCGCGCACUGGACUCACAAUCCAGAGGUCGCCGGUUCGAAUCCCGAAUUUGUGU
RNAcentral lists this transfer RNA (79 nucleotides) under Culex quinquefasciatus (southern house mosquito). RNAcentral's name for it is "tRNA-Val". Lineage: Eukaryota; Metazoa; Arthropoda; Insecta; Diptera; Culicidae. The record is from RNAcentral.